ACUCAAAGGAAUAGACGGGGACCCGCACAAGCGGUGGAUGAUGUGGAUUAAUUCGAUGCAACGCGAAAAACCUUACCUACCCUUGACAUGGCCCAAAGCUGCCAGAGAUGGUGGUGUGCUCGCAAGAGAAUGGGUACACAGGUGCUGCAUGGCUGUCGUCAGCUCGUGUCGUGAGAUGUUGGGUUAAGUCCCGCAACGAGCGCAACCCUUGUCGGUAAUUGCCAUCAUUAGGUUGGGCACUUUACUGAGACUGCCGGUGACAAACCGGAGGAAGGUGGGGAUGACGUCAAGUCCUCAUGGCCCUUAUGGGUAGGGCUUCACACGUCAUACAAUGGUGCAUACAGAGGGUUGCGAAGCUGCGAAGUGGAGCUAAUCUCAGAAAGUGCAUCGUAGUCCGGAUUGGAGUCUGCAACUCGACUCCAUGAAGUUGGAAUCGCUAGUAAUCGCGGAUCAGCAUGUCGCGGUGAAUACGUUCUCGGGUCUUGUACACACCGCCCGU
Molecule: ribosomal RNA, 499 nt
Filed under: uncultured bacterium
Lineage: Bacteria
Description: partial 16S ribosomal RNA
Rfam family: Bacterial small subunit ribosomal RNA
Source: RNAcentral